AGUGGGGAAUAUUGGACAAUGGGCGAAAGCCUGAUCCAGCCAUGCCGCGUGAAUGAUGAAGGCCUUAGGGUUGUAAAGUUCUUUCGCCGAUGAAGAUAAUGACGGUAGUCGGAGAAGAAGCCCCGGCUAACUUCGUGCCAGCAGCCGCGGUAAUACGAAGGGGGCUAGCGUUGUUCGGAAUUACUGGGCGUAAAGCGAGCGUAGGUUGCUCGGAAAGUCAGUGGUGAAAGCCCAGAGCUCAACUCUGGAACUGCCAUUGAAACUUCCGAGCUGGAAUCUCAGAGGGGGUAGCGGAAUUCCAAAUGUAGGGGUGAAAUCCGUAGAUAUUUGGAGGAACACCGGUGGCGAAGGCGGCUACCUGGAUGAGUAUUGACACUGAGGCUCGAAAGCGCGGGGAUCAAACAGGAUUAGAUACCCUGGUAGUCCACGCUGUAAACGAUGAAUGCUAGUUGUUGGGGGGUUCCCCCUCAGUGACGAAGCUAACGCAUUAAGCAUUCCGCCUGGGGAGUACGGUCGCAAGAUUAAAACUCAAAGAAAUUGACGGG
RNAcentral lists this ribosomal RNA (545 nucleotides) under uncultured bacterium. Its description in RNAcentral is "bacterial SSU rRNA". It matches the Rfam family "Bacterial small subunit ribosomal RNA", at positions 353 to 917 of the family's 1533-position model. The record is from RNAcentral.